GUCCCCAUGUCCCCCUGUGUCCCCACGUGUCCCCAUGUCCCCCUGUGUCCCCACGUGUCCCCAUGUCCUCAUGCUGUCAUGUCCCCAUCCAUCCCCACGUCCCCACACAUCCCCAUGUGUCCCCAUACGUGUCCAUGUCCCCAUGUGUCCCCACAUCCCCACACGUCCCUUUUUUCCCCACAUGUCCCCAUGACCUCGUGUCCCACAUGUCCCUACAUCCCCAUGUCCCCAUAUAUCCCCAUACAUCCCCAAGUGUCCCCAUGUCUUCAGAUGUCCCCAUACGCCCCCACGUGUCCCCAUGUCCCCAUGGGUCCCCACAUCCCCACGCUCCCAUGUGUCCCCAUGUCCCCAUGUGCCCCCACAUGUUCAGAUGUCCUCGUGGCCCCAUGUGUCCCCGUGUCCUCAUGUCCUCAUGUCUCCAUGUCCCCAUGUGUCCCCACAUCCCCACACCCCCAUGUGUCCCCAUGUCUUCAGAUGUUCCCACAUGUCCCCAUGUGUCCCCAUAUCUCCCCACGUGUCCCCAUGUCCCCAUUUGUCCCCACGUGUCCCCAUGUGUCCAGAUGUCCUCGUGUCCCCAGCUGUCCCCAUGUGUCCCCGUGUCCUCAUGUCUCCAUGUCCCACCCAUCCCCAUGUGUGUCCAUAUCCCCUCAUGUCCCCACGUCCCCCUCUGUCCCCAUGUCCCCAUGUCCCCAUGUGCCCCCGUCCCGGUCCCGGUCUCGUUACCGACGAACACGUGCUCGAAUCCGGACGAGUCGAGCGCGGCGCCGCCGGAGCGCGAGUAGCGGCCGAACCACAUCAGCUUCAGCGCCUCCCGGAGCGCGCUGCGGGAACGCCACAGCCCUGCGCCCCACGGCUCAGCCCCAUGGCCCUGCCCCACAGCUCUGCCCCACGGCCCAGCCCCACGGCUCAGCCCCACGGCCCAGCCCUACGGCCCAGCCCCACAGCUCAGCCCCAUGGCCCAGCCCUAUGGCUCUGCCCCACGGCUCAGCCCUACAGCCUAGCCCCACGGCUCAGCCCCACAGCUCAGCCCCACGGCCCAGCCCUACAGCCCAGCCCCACGGCUCUGCCCCACGGCCCAGCCCCACAGCUCUGCCCCAUGGCCCAGCCCUACAGCCUAGCCCCAUGGCCCAGCCCCAUGGCCCAGCCCCACGGCCCUGCGCUGCCACACUCAGCCCCACCGCUCUGCCCCACACCUCUGCCCCACUUCUCUGCCCCACACGCCCGCCCCACACCUCUCCAUUGCACAUCUUCACCCCGCACCUCUCUGCCCCACAUCUCUCCAUCCCACACCUCCAUCCCCACGUCUCCACCCCGUACCGCACCUCACACUUCUCCGCCCCACAUCUCCCGGCCCCACAUCGCCAUCCUUGCACCCCUCCACCCUCACACUUCUCCGCCCCACAUGUCCCCGCCCCACAUCCCCGCCCUCACCCUCCUCCUCCCCCCGCCGCUCACCGCUGUCGAGGAGCGCUCCCAUGACGUCGGUGCCGAGCACGGCGUCGAGGAACCGCUCCUCCUCGCGCUCCUCCUCCGCCGUCACCGCCUCCGCGACCCCGCACGGCGCCUCGUAGUUGUCCAGCAGCGCCCGCAGCUCCGGGAACGGCGAGCGGGAAAGCAGCGCCUCGUCCACGUGCUCGAACAGCCUGGGGGGGGGGAACGGGGG
RNAcentral lists this long non-coding RNA (1663 nucleotides) under Numida meleagris (helmeted guineafowl). RNAcentral's name for it is "lncRNA (ENSNMEG00000002906.1)". Lineage: Eukaryota; Metazoa; Chordata; Aves; Galliformes; Numididae. The record is from RNAcentral.